RNAcentral lists this ribosomal RNA (253 nucleotides) under uncultured bacterium. RNAcentral's name for it is "partial 16S ribosomal RNA". It matches the Rfam family "Bacterial small subunit ribosomal RNA", at positions 524 to 776 of the family's 1533-position model. The record is from RNAcentral.
UACGGAGGGAGCUAGCGUUGUUCGGAUCUACUGGGCGUAAAGCGCACGUAGGCGGCGCCGUAAGUCAGGGGUGAAAUCCCGGAGCUCAACUCCGGAACUGCCCUUGAAACUGCAGUGCUAGAAUCCUGGAGAGGCGAGUGGAAUUCCGAGUGUAGAGGUGAAAUUCGUAGAUAUUCGGAAGAACACCAGUGGCGAAGGCGACUCGCUGGACAGGUAUUGACGCUGAGGUGCGAAAGCGUGGGGAGCAAACAGG